UACGUAGGGUGCAAGCGUUGUCCGGAAUUACUGGGUGUAAAGGGUGCGCAGGCGGAUCUGCUUGUCGGAGGUUAAAGACCUCGGCUUAACCGAGGGAGUGCCUUCGAAACGGCAGAUCUUGAAUAUGAGAGAGGAUGAUAGAAUUCCUGGUGUAGCGGUGAAAUGCGUAGAUAUCAGGAGGAAUACCAGUGGCGAAGGCGGUCAUCUGGCUCAUCAUUGACGCUCAGGCACGAAAGCGUGGGUAGCGAACAGG
Molecule: ribosomal RNA, 253 nt
Filed under: uncultured bacterium
Lineage: Bacteria
Description: partial 16S ribosomal RNA
Rfam family: Bacterial small subunit ribosomal RNA
Source: RNAcentral